GUUUAUAUAGUUUAAUAAAAACGCCACAUUUUCAGCGUGAAAUUGGAUGGAACAAUCCUAUAAAUU
RNAcentral lists this transfer RNA (66 nucleotides) under Anaplecta sp. 7 ZQW-2020. RNAcentral's name for it is "tRNA-Glu". Lineage: Eukaryota; Metazoa; Arthropoda; Insecta; Blattodea; Anaplectidae. The record is from RNAcentral.